Molecule: ribosomal RNA, 525 nt
Filed under: uncultured bacterium
Lineage: Bacteria
Description: bacterial SSU rRNA
Rfam family: Bacterial small subunit ribosomal RNA
Source: RNAcentral
UGGGGGAUAUUGCACAAUGGAGGAAACUCUGAUGCAGCGACGCCGCGUGAGUGAAGAAGUAUUUCGGUAUGUAAAGCUCUAUCAGCAGGGAAGAUGAUGACGGUACCUGACUAAGAAGCCCCGGCUAACUACGUGCCAGCAGCCGCGGUAAUACGUAGGGGGCAAGCGUUAUCCGGAUUUACUGGGUGUAAAGGGAGCGCAGGCGGUUUGGCAAGUUGAGAGUGGAAGCAGGGGGCUCAACCCCUUGACUGCUCCCAAAACUGUUAAACUUGAGUAUGGGAGAGGCAGGCGGAAUUCCUAGUGUAGCGGUGAAAUGCUUAGAUAUUAGGAAGAACACCGGUGGCGAAGGCGGCCUGCUGGACCAAAACUGACGCUGAGGCUCGAAAGCGUGGGUAGCAAACAGGAUUAGAUACCCUGGUAGUCCACGCUGUAAACGAUGAAUACUAGGUGCUGGGAGGCAUAAGCCUUUCGGUGCCGUCGCAAACGCAUUAAGUAUUCCACCUGGGGAGUACGUUCGCAAGAAUG